AUGCAGUCGAACGGUGAUGUCAGAGCUUGCUCUGGCGGAUCAGUGGCGAACGGGUGAGUAACACGUGAGUAACCUGCCCCCGACUCUGGGAUAACUGCUAGAAAUGGUAGCUAAUACCGGAUAUGACGAUUGGCCGCAUGGUCUGGUCGUGGAAAGAAUUUCGGUUGGGGAUGGACUCGCGGCCUAUCAGGUUGUUGGUGAGGUAAUGGCUCACCAAGCCUACGACGGGUAGCCGGCCUGAGAGGGUGACCGGCCACACUGGGACUGAGACACGGCCCAGACUCCUACGGGAGGCAGCAGUGGGGAAUAUUGCACAAUGGGCGAAAGCCUGAUGCAGCAACGCCGCGUGAGGGAUGACGGCCUUCGGGUUGUAAACCUCUUUUAGUAGGGAAGAAGCGAAAGUGACGGUACCUGCAGAAAAAGCACCGGCUAACUACGUGCCAGCAGCCGCGGUAAUACGUAGGGUGCAAGCGUUGUCCGGAAUUAUUGGGCGUAAAGAGCUCGUAGGCGGUUUGUCGCGUCUGCUGUGAAAUCCCGAGGCUCAACCUCGGGUCUGCAGUGGGUACGGGCAGACUAGAGUGCGGUAGGGGAGAUUGGAAUUCCUGGUGUAGCGGUGGAAUGCGCAGAUAUCAGGAGGAACACCGAUGGCGAAGGCAGAUCUCUGGGCCGUAACUGACGCUGAGGAGCGAAAGCAUGGGGAGCGAACAGGAUUAGAUACCCUGGUAGUCCAUGCCGUAAACGUUGGGAACUAGAUGUGGGGACCAUUCCACGGUCUCCGUGUCGCAGCUAACGCAUUAAGUUCCCCGCCUGGGGAGUACGGCCGCAAGGCUAAAACUCAAAGGAAUUGACGGGGGCCCGCACAAGCGGCGGAGCAUGCGGAUUAAUUCGAUGCAACGCGAAGAACCUUACCAAGGCUUGACAUAUACCGGAAACAUGCAGAAAUGUGUGCCCCGCAAGGUCGGUAUACAGGUGGUGCAUGGUUGUCGUCAGCUCGUGUCGUGAGAUGUUGGGUUAAGUCCCGCAACGAGCGCAACCCUCGUUCUAUGUUGCCAGCACGUAAUGGUGGGAACUCAUAGGAGACUGCCGGGGUCAACUCGGAGGAAGGUGGGGAUGACGUCAAAUCAUCAUGCCCCUUAUGUCUUGGGCUUCACGCAUGCUACAAUGGCCGGUACAAAGGGCUGCGAUACCGUAAGGUGGAGCGAAUCCCAAAAAGCCGGUCUCAGUUCGGAUUGAGGUCUGCAACUCGACCUCAUGAAGUCGGAGUCGCUAGUAAUCGCAGAUCAGCAACGCUGCGGUGAAUACGUUCCCGGGCCUUGUACACACCGCCCGUCAAGUCAUGAAAGUCGGUAACACCCGAAGCCAGUGGCCUAACCGCAAGGGAGGAGCUGUCGAAGGUGAU
RNAcentral lists this ribosomal RNA (1399 nucleotides) under Clavibacter michiganensis subsp. michiganensis. RNAcentral's name for it is "bacterial SSU rRNA". It matches the Rfam family "Bacterial small subunit ribosomal RNA". The record is from RNAcentral. Lineage: Bacteria; Bacillati; Actinomycetota; Actinomycetes; Micrococcales; Microbacteriaceae.